AGUAUUUUCCUUAAGCUCAAGGAAGUGGGUGUUUUGCAGCCACCUGUUUGUACUUUGAAGCCACCCUCUGGUCCCCUAGAAUUGUCAUGCUUCCGUUCGACAAAGAAACUGCUCACAGCUGCAUCCAUCGCACAGUGUGCUGCAUCAGCUGUGCAUUUACAGCCUGAAGCUGCUGAACUUCUCAUUUCCCAGUUCCCAGUAAGGUUUUGCUCUGACAUUCAUAGGCAGUGAUGAUGCCUUUUAUUGGAGCGCACUCGCUAUUCUUCAUAUGUGUUGACAACUGCAAUAAUCAGCUCUUUGUGAGUGAGCGGGAUAAAAAUUAUGGAAAAAGCCCAGAUAAAUCAGCAGCAGUAUCUGUUCUAUUGCUUCCCUCCGUGCAUAUCUGUAAAGAAAACAGUCUGUUAGGAGUGGAUCACACUGCCUGUUCAGAAACCCAGCAGGGUUUGGGUGCUGCUCUUCCCAGGAAGCUCUGUAAUUGAAAUUGGCAAAAGUUACUGGGUUGUGGGGCUGUUGUGUUUUUUUUCCUGAUCUCAGAUAAUGAGUUUGCAUUGUGAAAGAUGAGAGGAAAUACAUUCCAUUGUCCUGCAUUUCUGCUGGAGGUGAGAACAAGUCCUCAGAAAAAUCUAAAAAGCUUGAAAUGAAACUAUCUAGGUACUGUAAAUCUCCAUAAUUAUUUCUGAGGCAAAAUCUUUCAAAGACUUGCUGUAGUUUUAUGCACCGGGUGUAGAAAUGGCAGAUUGUUGCAGUGAAGACCUCAGCCUUCUGUGUUGAUAUGGUUUCUUGUUUUUGAGCAGCCUUAGAGUAGUGUGUCUUCCAGGGAUCCUGUAGCCCUGUGGAAAUUUCAAAUAUUGCUGUAGGAUUUACCUUGUCAUUUGAGACCUGUCUUUGAUUUUUGUCCUGAUGUUCUGAGAUUCAAGUACUGCCUGAGCAGCAAGGAAAGAACUCUGAGCGGGAAGUUCCCACAUGUUCCCCAGAACUAAAAAGGAACAGAAGGAAAAUAUUUCCACAGUUCCUCUCCAAACCAUGUGUUUUCCUUUAGAAGAGGCAUUCCAGUUUGUUAGAGGCAAAUCCAUGCUCCAGUCCUGGUAAAGAAGUGGCUGGUGGUGGAGGUGCUGAUCACCACAGCUCCAGCAGAGAGGCAUUAAGCAACACUACUGGACUUCGAGCAAAAAUGCACUUGUCACUAUUGCUGACACAGAAUUAAAGACAUGCUCUAAUGUAACCAAACCAGUGAAAAGAAAGAGCUAGAAGUCUUAAGAGGUAAGAAUGAGUUUCGUUUGGAGUAGGACUGAGGGAAUCUGUUUCGCUUUCAAAUGGGAGUUCUUUGUCCUGCUCCAAAUCACAUGGCUGAGCCUCCAGCUGGGACAUGGUGGUUUAUCACGGGAGUGACAGCCUCCAGGGAAAAAGGAGUAGCUUUCAAGGAGUUUGGAAAGUGAUGAUGGUCUUUGAAAUGGAAUUUUUAGCACAUCCUGUCUACAAGAUAUUUAUGAAUUAAAAGUCUGCUGGACUGCUAGAAUCUAGUUAAAGCAGUCAAGGAAUUCUUGUAGGCUUUUGGUGUUGAAAAAUGCGUGCAAGAUUUAGGAGAAGGUCUUACUUAGUGUGGAGAAAAAAGCUGUGUAACAGUGCGCAUCUCACUGAACUCUUACCAUCUGCUGUUAAUGUCAGAGGAAUUCUUCUGUUAAGCCAAGUGUUUAAGUAGUUGGCCUUACUAAUCAGUUUCUGCGUACAGGUUCAGGUCUUCCUUCCUGAUUUCCUGAUGCAGACCUGCUCCUGUUGGUGCACUUCGGGAGCUUGUUGUGUUUUUUGGGUUGUGAUUGCUUAAAGAGCUGCAAUGGAGUUCAUGCCACAGGGCAAUACUGGAAUUGCUUUAGCUACACAAGGCUCCUCAGUCUGAUCAGAGCUGUGGCCUGUAUACCAGAUGUUGGAGAGACAAAUGAUGUUUGUUUUUUUUUUACUCGCAUAUUUUCAGCUGUAUGUAAGACCUCUGUUAUAAAUAUGACACAGCAGAUUUGGCAACACCUUCCUCUAAGCAGGGUGGGUAAGAAAACAAUCUAUUCCUGAAGCACUUGUUUCAGUUACCCUAAUUCAACUCAUUCUUUUAAGGUGAUCUGUGUUAUUUGCUGGCAUCCUGUAUUCAUCCCAGUGAGGGCUCCCCAUUUGCUUUGUGCACUUGGAGGUUCAUUAACCACUUCUUGUCUCCCUGCAGAGGGGACACUGCUGAAGGGCCAGAACUGGGCAACUCUCUCUUAGCCUCACCUCUGCUUAUUCCCCUAGUGCUGUGGUGCAUAAGUUUGAGCUCUGGGUUGAUCUGGGUUAAAAUGGGGAAAUUCCUCCUUUUGAAGAAAUUGCACUUGCAUGGCAACAGCAUCAGAAGUGAAGUAGCUGCUUUGAGACAAUUUUAUUUCUCCGUUGAGACUCCUGGCUGCAUUUCCCAGCAGACUUCAUUGUUCCCAUUACUUUUGUUCUGUUCUAAUGAGGCUCUACUCUCUCUCUCUCUUUAAUGCCUCUCACUUUUGGAAGAAUGCAAAUGACAGUAGUGGACCAGAGCAUGUCCUUUUCCCUGUCCUGCUGCCUAUUUCCCACAAAGUUUCCUUACUUCCAUGUGAGCUAUUAAAUCUAUUUUUGUUAGCAGAGCUCUUCCACGUCCAAGCUACUGGACUCUCCCAAGCUGUCUCCUUUGAGAGAAGCCAGCACUGCAGAUAGUAGCUACAAUGCUGCCGUUUAUUCCAGUAGAAGUGAAAGUCAACACUUGCUCUGUCUUAAAAAUGUAAUUGCUUCUCAUCCUGGGAAUCCAUAUGGAUGCUGUAUGAAUGAAAGCUGGUAGAACUGGGUGAGGGUAAAGCAGGCUAGCCUUGAGCUCCUCCUGCUCUAGCUGUCUUCAGCCUUUUAUUGUGUAGAUACAAACGAGAGAUGUGGUCUUGCAAACUCCUGUUCAUAGCAUCCAUGAUGUAGUUUCUGCAAAUAGAUUCCAUCUGUUCUGGUUUACUGGCUGUUAAAUCUGGAUUCAUUUCCUUGUGUGAGGCGGGGCAAGUGUCUUAAAGGCUUUAGACCCUGUGCUGUCCUUGAAAGAAAGGAGGAAAAAAAAAAAAAAAGAGUAGGCAAGAGGUUGCUUGCCAGAUUCCAGAUCAUCAUGAAUUGAGUGUGUAUCUGUAUCAUCGAUUCCCCCGGCUCAGCCUUGUGUUGUUUGGAGUCGAGCAGUGGACGACUUUUGCACAGGGUGUCCUAGGACGAACUUGCACAACACUGCCAGCAGAUGUAAUGAUCACAGGAAUUCUGCUGAAGAGCAGCUGCUAGACAUACAUCAGACUGUUAAUUUCAUUGGGAGGCCUUGCAUUUGUUUAAUCAGCAGCCUUUUUUUUUUUUCCCAUUUCACUU
Long non-coding RNA from Meleagris gallopavo (turkey), 3375 nucleotides. RefSeq lists it as uncharacterized. The record is from RefSeq and is a predicted model, not a curated record. Lineage: Eukaryota; Metazoa; Chordata; Aves; Galliformes; Phasianidae.